GCCAGGUGCAGGGGCACACAACUGUAAUUCCAGAUACUUGGAGGCUGAGGCAGGAGGAUUACUUAAAACCAGAAGUUCAAGGGCAGCCUGGGCAACAUAAUAAGACCCUGUUUCUA
RNAcentral lists this small RNA (116 nucleotides) under Marmota monax (woodchuck). Lineage: Eukaryota; Metazoa; Chordata; Mammalia; Rodentia; Sciuridae. The record is from RNAcentral.